AUGACCGUCGACAAAAGAAUUGGGCUGCAGGUUAGAUGGCUGCUUUUUGGGCUUACUCUUAGUAAAUUUUUUGGCCUGGGCUUAAUCUUACUAAAUUUUUUGGCCUGGGCUUAAUCUUAGUAAUUGUUUUGGUCUGGGCUUAAUCUGAAUAUGGGUUGCGGAUUUUAGAAGCUUUCCGAGGCUGUCUUAUUAAUGGGCUCCAAAAGGAGACCCAUGUGUAACUUAUUAAUGGGCUUCAUAGAACUUUGGUAUUCAUUCUAAUUAUUUCUCUUAUUAAUGAGCUCUAAAUAAUUUAGAAGGUUCUUUUUCAUUGGGCCAGCAGUGUCUAUCCCAAUGAAAAAAAUGACAUUUUAUUACGUAUCAGUAGUAUUAUGUUCGAACUUCUAUAACACCUCUAUAAUGUGUGUAAGAAAAUCUCUCUCACACUUCGUAACUUUGGCCAAAAGAAAAAAAACAAUUAAUUACAACAAAGAAAAACGAUUUAGGAUAAGUUGAAACUUCGAAGAAAAAAUUAUGGGUUCGUACUUAGGCCUAAUAUUUAAUUGAAAUAAGUUGUUGGAGAAGAGUAUGGUGCAAUUAAAGAGACCAAAUUUUAUCGUCAAAUGUGUUAUUAUGUUACGUUAUUCAUCCAAAUUUGGGCCUACCAAAAUUCUAUGAAAACACUCCACGUCAUCAACGUCCAAAAGCAAACCGUCUUUCUUGUUUAGAGGAAAAGAGGAAAAUAACAGAUACCCUUUUAUUUUGCUUUCUAUUAUCCAACCCAUUAAAAAGGCAAAAAUUCGAAUCCCAUAUACCCAUAUGCAUUCAUUUUGCUUUCCUUUUAAGCGAACGAUACCCAUUAGCGUCAAAGCGUUUCCAUUCUCCAUCGCCGAUAAGGACGUCGAAAGCCCUACUCCCCCCACAUUUAUCAGAACCCAGAUAAAAACCCAUCUCCCAAAUCCCAAGAUCUCAAACAGCGAACCCUUUUUCUGGGUCUGAAAUUCCAGGGAAAAAGAGAUUCGAAGCACUCAAAGUGAAGCAAAGAUGUGCUGCUGUCCAAGCAGAGUUUGCAUGCUGUGCACUUGUUUGAUACUGGUGGUGGUUUUGGUGGGGCUUUUGUUUGGGUUUGGAGUGUUCAAGAAUGGCUUCCACAAGAUCAAAGAUACUGUGAAUUUCUGUGAUCCGAAUGUUCAUGGAUCUUAUUGUGGGUCUACUGGAAGACCCUUCUUGGGUUACACUGCACCUGCACCUUUCUAG
Molecule: long non-coding RNA, 1236 nt
Filed under: Prunus dulcis (almond)
Lineage: Eukaryota; Viridiplantae; Streptophyta; Magnoliopsida; Rosales; Rosaceae
Description: sRNA ncRNA
Source: RNAcentral